CCUACGGGAGGCAGCAGUGAGGAAUAUUGGUCAAUGGACGAGAGUCUGAACCAGCCAAGUAGCGUGAAGGAUGACUGCCCUAUGGGUUGUAAACUUCUUUUAUAUGGGAAUAAAAUGUUUCACGUGUGGGAUUUUGUAUGUACCAUAUGAAUAAGGAUCGGCUAACUCCGUGCCAGCAGCCGCGGUAAUACGGAGGGUCCGAGCGUUAUCCGGAUUUAUUGGGUUUAAAGGGAGCGUAGGUGGAUUGUUAAGUCAGUUGUGAAAGUUUGCGGCUCAACCGUAAAAUUGCAGUUGAAACUGGCAGUCUUGAGUACAGUAGAGGUGGGCGGAAUUCGUGGUGUAGCGGUGAAAUGCUUAGAUAUCACGAAGAACUCCGAUUGCGAAGGCAGCUCGCUGGACUGCAACUGACACUGAGGCUCGAAAGUGUGGGUAUCAAACAGGAUUAGAUACCCCAGUAGUC
This 460-nucleotide ribosomal RNA is filed under the name uncultured bacterium. Its description in RNAcentral is "partial 16S ribosomal RNA". It matches the Rfam family "Bacterial small subunit ribosomal RNA", at positions 338 to 795 of the family's 1533-position model. The record is from RNAcentral.